RNAcentral lists this ribosomal RNA (497 nucleotides) under uncultured bacterium. RNAcentral describes it as "bacterial SSU rRNA". It matches the Rfam family "Bacterial small subunit ribosomal RNA", at positions 24 to 507 of the family's 1533-position model. The record is from RNAcentral.
UCAGGAUGAACGCUAGCUACAGGCUUAACACAUGCAAGUCGAGGGGCAGCAUGGUCUUAGCUUGCUAAGGCCGAUGGCGACCGGCGCACGGGUGAGUAACACGUAUCCAACCUGGCCGUCUACUCUUGGACAGCCUUCUGAAAGGAAGAUUAAUACAAGAUGGCAUCAUGAGUCCGCAUGUUCACAUGAUUAAAGGUAUUCCGGUAGACGAUGGGGGAUGCGUUCCAUUAGAUAGUAGGCGGGGUAACGGCCCACCUAGUCUUCGAUGGAUAGGGGGUUCUGAGAGGAAGGUCCCCCACAUUGGAACUGAGACACGGUCCAAACUCCUACGGGAGGCAGCAGUGAGGAAUAUUGGUCAAUGGGCGAGAGCCUGAACCAGCCAAGUAGCGUGAAGGAUGACUGCCCUAUGGGUUGUAAACUUCUUUUAUAAAGGAAUAAAGUCGGGUAUGGAUACCCGUUUGCAUGUACUUUAUGAAUAAGGAUCGGCUAACUCCGUG